Molecule: ribosomal RNA, 200 nt
Filed under: uncultured bacterium
Lineage: Bacteria
Description: partial 16S ribosomal RNA
Rfam family: Bacterial small subunit ribosomal RNA
Source: RNAcentral
AGAGUUUGAUCAUGGCUCAGAACGAACGCUGGCGGCGUGCUUAACACAUGCAAGUCGAGUGCGCGGCUGUAGCAAUACAGCUGGCGCACGGCGCACGGGUGCGUAACACGUGGGUAACCUGCCCUUUGAUGGGGAAUAACCCCGCGAAAGCGGGGCUAAUACCGCAUAAGAUCCGCAAGGAUGAAAGCUGUGAGGCGUCG